Molecule: transfer RNA, 76 nt
Filed under: Candidatus Omnitrophota bacterium
Lineage: Bacteria; Pseudomonadati; Candidatus Omnitrophota
Description: Candidatus Omnitrophica bacterium (sediment metagenome) tRNA-Lys
Rfam family: tRNA
About the family: Transfer RNA (tRNA) molecules are approximately 80 nucleotides in length. Their secondary structure includes four short double-helical elements and three loops (D, anti-codon, and T loops).
Source: RNAcentral
GGGCCAUUAGCUCACCUGGUAGAGCAAGUGACUCUUAAUCACUUGGUAGCAAGUUCGACUCUUGCAUGGCCCACCA